Molecule: ribosomal RNA, 433 nt
Filed under: uncultured bacterium
Lineage: Bacteria
Description: partial 16S ribosomal RNA
Rfam family: Bacterial small subunit ribosomal RNA
Source: RNAcentral
AACGAACGCUGGCGGCAUGCCUAACACAUGCAAGUCGAACGAGACCUUCGGGUCUAGUGGCGCACGGGUGCGUAACGCGUGGGAACCUGCCCUUAGGUUCGGAAUAACUCCCCGAAAGGGGUGCUAAUACCGGAUAAUUUCUUCGGACCAAAGAUUUAUCGCCUUUGGAUGGGCCCGCGUUGGAUUAGCUAGUUGGUAGGGUAAAAGCCUACCAAGGCGACGAUCCAUAGCUGGUCUGAGAGGAUGAUCAGCCACACUGGGACUGAGACACGGCCCAGACUCCUACGGGAGGCAGCAGUGGGGAAUAUUGGACAAUGGGCGAAAGCCUGAUCCAGCAAUGCCGCGUGAGUGAUGAAGGCCUUAGGGUUGUAAAGCUCUUUUACCCGGGAUGAUAAUGACAGUACCGGGAGAAUAAGCACCGGCUAACUCCAUG